RNAcentral lists this ribosomal RNA (429 nucleotides) under Pseudomonadota bacterium. RNAcentral describes it as "Proteobacteria bacterium partial 16S ribosomal RNA". It matches the Rfam family "Bacterial small subunit ribosomal RNA", at positions 355 to 776 of the family's 1533-position model. Lineage: Bacteria; Pseudomonadati; Pseudomonadota. The record is from RNAcentral.
UGGGGAAUAUUGGACAAUGGGCGAAAGCCUGAUCCAGCCAUGCCGCGUGUGUGAAGAAGGUCUUCGGAUUGUAAAGCACUUUAAGUUGGGAGGAAGGGCAGUAAGCGAAUACCUUGCUGUUUUGACGUUACCGACAGAAUAAGCACCGGCUAACUCUGUGCCAGCAGCCGCGGUAAUACAGAGGGUGCAAGCGUUAAUCGGAAUUAGUGGGCGUAAAGCGCGCGUAGGUGGUUCGUUAAGUUGAAUGUGAAAGCCCCGGGCUCAACCUGGGAACUGCAUCCAAAACUGGCGAGCUAGAGUAGGGCAGAGGGUGGUGGAAUUUCCUGUGUAGCGGUGAAAUGCGUAGGUAUAGGAAGGAACACCAGUGGCGAAGGCGACCACCUGGGCUCAUACUGACACUGAGGUGCGAAAGCGUGGGGAGCAAACAGG